Molecule: microRNA precursor, 145 nt
Filed under: Gossypium arboreum
Lineage: Eukaryota; Viridiplantae; Streptophyta; Magnoliopsida; Malvales; Malvaceae
Description: MIR7502 microRNA precursor family
Rfam family: MIR7502 microRNA precursor family
Source: Rfam by way of RNAcentral
UAUUAAAAAUUUCACUUAUUCUUAUUGUUAAAAGCUGACAUAACUAACAGAAUAAUCAAACAGUUACAUGUUACGUGCCUCUUAUACGUCAUUCUGACGUACAUGAACCAAUUUUUAAUAGUAAAAAUAAAUAAAUUUUUUAACA